CUUGCGGCCAGAUCACGUUGAAACACCUGUUCUCGCCAGAUCACCGAAUUUAAGCAAUAUUGAGCCUGGUCAGUAUCAAGGUGGGUGACCACUUAGGAACACCAGCUGCUGUAA
Acanthosepion pharaonis is the source of this 114-nucleotide non-coding RNA. Lineage: Eukaryota; Metazoa; Mollusca; Cephalopoda; Sepiida; Sepiidae. The record is from the annotation of a GenBank genome assembly.